GGGGAUUUAGCUCAGUGGUAGAGCGCUUGCCUCGCAAGUGCAAGGCCCUGGGUUCGGUCCCCAGCUCCG
Rattus norvegicus (Norway rat) is the source of this 69-nucleotide non-coding RNA. The record is from Rfam. NCBI's taxonomy places the organism in Eukaryota, Metazoa, Chordata, Mammalia, Rodentia, Muridae.